CGGAACACGUACACAACCUUCCUUUAAGUGGGGAAUAGCCCAGAGAAAUUUGGAUUAAUACCCCGUAACAUUAUGAGAUGGCAUCAUUUUAUAAUUAUAGCUCCGGCGCUUGAAGAUGGGUGUGCGUCUGAUUAGGUAGUUGGCGGGGUAACGGCCCACCAAGCCUGCGAUCAGUAACUGGUGUGAGAGCACGACCAGUCACACGGGCACUGAGACACGGGCCCG
RNAcentral lists this ribosomal RNA (225 nucleotides) under uncultured bacterium. RNAcentral describes it as "partial 16S ribosomal RNA". It matches the Rfam family "Bacterial small subunit ribosomal RNA", at positions 109 to 334 of the family's 1533-position model. The record is from RNAcentral.